CUAAAAUCAACAAAAUUUAAUACUUAUAAUAUAUAUAUAGAACUCCUGAAAAAUCCAACAGAAGAAGACAGGAAGCCCCAUAGGAGCACAAUGAAAAGAUAUAAAUGCGCAAUUUUUACGUAAGGUUCAAAUAAAUUAUUUCAAAACUCCUAGAAUUAACUAAUAAUCAUAAAAAGGGCUAAGAUCACGAAAUAUCUUUUUAUACCUUUGCAUCUAUCAACAAUUAGCGUUGCACCCAGGCGAGUUAGAGAAAACGCCACACUUUGAGACGAGUAUACAUAUGUAACAAACAUGCACGUCAUGCACAUGUACCCUAAAAGUAUAAUAACAAUAAAAUAAAAAAAAAAAUAAGAUGCAAAUUGGAAAGGGCACGAGAGGGUAUCUUAGUGAAAAUUCUAUGUGAAUUUAUAUAUCAUAAAUUUAUAAAUUAAUUCAUCCAUUCAUUCAUAUAUUAUGAACAAAAUAUAUGUAAUGAUAUAUAAAUGAAUAUUCAUUUAUUUAUGUAUUAUAUAUUCAUUCACCAUCCCUUAUUAUGGAGAAAUUUGAAAAUAUAAAAUUAUUUACUCAAAAGCUUUAUUAAAAAAAAAAAAAAAAGAGUCCUUUAUUAGCCGGCGACCAGGCCGCUUCCCUCUUACCAGAACCAGAACAAAGUCAAAUCUGACCUACCUGACCCCGGGGUGAGAAGCUGAGGACUCAGAUGUUGAAUUUUAGGGCACUGACACGGUAGUCGAUCCGCUCUCCUCCGGAAGACGGUCACUCUUUGGGGACCUGAAAAUUGUUUCCUCAGGUGGCGCCCCCCUCCGAGCCGGCUGUCCUUCCGGGGGAGCCCGGAGCGAGACUGGCUCUCGCCCAGUGGCGUUAAUAUCUUGCUGGGGCCUCCAUUAUGUUGUAUCCAGGCAAGUCAGAGAAAACGCCACACUUUGGGAUGAAUUAAGAGUCCUUUAUUAGCCGGCGACGAGAGACGGCUAACGCUCAAAAUUCUCUCGGCCCUGAAGAAGGGGGUAGAUUUUCUUUUAUACUUUGGUUUAGAAAGGGGAGGGGGGUCUAGUUAGAACAAUUUUACAGAAGUUAAGUAGGCAAAAAGUUAAAAGGAUAAAUGAUUACAGGAAAGUAAACAGUUCCAGGUGCAAGGGCUUUAAGACUACUACAAGGUGAUAGACUCGGGGCUUUGGGCGUUAUCAAUCAGACGAAAUCCUGGGAACUGCGGAUACAGCUCGCCACAGUAUCUUAUCAGUUAAUUGCAUUCUUGGAUGUGCUGGGAGUCAGCUUGCACAAGUUAAGUCCUUGAGGAAGGGGCUGCCAGUCAAAGAGCCAAGAUGGAGUCUAUCUGGCUCUCUUAGCUAAGGGAGAAUCAAUUCAGGUGGAAACAAGCCUAAAAACAGAGUUAGUAAAAACAAAGUUGGGCAUUACAUUAGAAAACCAGGUAUUUGCAAGGAUUGGUGAGUAUAUAGGAACAGAAGAACCCUCAUGCACUGAGAAAAAUAGAGUGCAGGCUAACACCGUCACAGCCUAGAGGUAUCCGGCAGUAUCUAGUUAAACCCUUCUGUGAAUAGCCCAGAGACACUCUUACACACCUUCAGAAAGGGACAAGUUCAAGGAUGUUCACUGUAGCAAUAGGAGGUGAAGUCAGUUGGGCUUCUGGGUAGGGUGGGGACUUGGAGAACUUUUGCAUCUAGCUAAAGGAUUGUAAAUGCACCAAUCAGCGCUCUGUGUCUAGCUAAAGGAUUGUAAAUGCACCAGUCAGCACUCUGUAAAAACGCACCAAUCAGCACUCUGUAAAACAGACCAAUCAGCACUCUGUAAAACGGACCAAUCAGCACUCUGUAAAAUGGACCAAUCAGUGCUCUGUAAAAUGGACCAAUCAGCAGGAUGUGGGCAGGGCCAAAUAAGAGAAUAAAAGCUGGCCACUGGAGCCAGCAGCAGCACCCAGCGUGGGACCCCUUUUGCACUGUGGUACCUUUGUUCUUUUGCUCUUCACAAUAAAUCUUGCUGCCACUCACUUUUUGGGUCCACACUACCUUUAUGAGCUGUAACACUCACUGUGAGGGUCUGCGGCUUCACUCCUGAAGUCAGCGAGAACAAGAACCCAUAGGAAGGAAUAAAUUAUGGACACAGCAAGAUGUAUGAUGGGGUUGUUGGUCAGUUUUAGAAUCCAUCCCUGGGAAUGGGGAUACAUAAAAUGUGCAGUAUAGAGACCAUAGAGUACAGUGCAGCAGUUAGGUGUCAGGAAUUUAAUUUUCAAGUGACAUGGAAGAGUUCCAGAAACAUAGUGUGGAUGAAGAUGAAAGAUGUAUAAUACAACUUGAUGAUGUAAAUUGAAACCCACAUGCAAACAAAACAACAAUAUGCAUUGUGCAAAACACAGAAAGAUGCACAUUAGCACAUUUGUAACGACAGAGGGAGGUAGAGGGAAUGGGCUAUAGGGAUCAAAGGAAAUCAACAUAACCAAAGGGGAACAAUUCUCACACAGACCACAGCCCACCACAGAAAGCAAGCAAAAGACCUGAUGGGUCUGUGUUUUUUUGGAUCAUCUGAAAGCAACAAUACAUAUGAAGUUCAGAGGUAC
RNAcentral lists this long non-coding RNA (2566 nucleotides) under Homo sapiens (human). Its description in RNAcentral is "HSALNT0273796". The record is from RNAcentral. Lineage: Eukaryota; Metazoa; Chordata; Mammalia; Primates; Hominidae.